CAAUAGCGUAUAUUAACGUUGUUGCAGUUAAAAAGCUCGUAGUUGGAUUUCUGGAGGGAGCGUCGGCCCGUAUUUACGAGUGCGUGACGUCUCUGUCCAUCCUUGCGGGAAGGCACGGCAUUGAUUUGUUGUGUCGGAUCGCAUCAUUUACUGUGAAAAAAUUAGAGUGUUCAAAGCAGGCUUUCGCUUGAAUACAUUAGCAUGGAAUAAUAAGAUAGGACUUUGGUCUAUUUUGUUGGUUGCGGCCCAAGGUAAUGAUUAAUAGGGAUGAUUGGGGACAUUCAUAUUGAGGUGGAAGAGGUGAAAUUCUUGGAUUUCCUCAAGAUGAACUGCUGCGAAAGCGUCUGUCUAGGGCGUUUNCAUUAA
This 366-nucleotide ribosomal RNA is filed under the name uncultured eukaryote. RNAcentral describes it as "partial 18S ribosomal RNA". It matches the Rfam family "Eukaryotic small subunit ribosomal RNA", at positions 592 to 976 of the family's 1831-position model. The record is from RNAcentral.